Molecule: ribosomal RNA, 373 nt
Filed under: uncultured organism
Description: partial 16S ribosomal RNA
Rfam family: Bacterial small subunit ribosomal RNA
Source: RNAcentral
GUAGGUGGCAAGCGUUGUCCGGAAUUAUUGGGCGUAAAGCGCGCGCAGGCGGGUUCUUUAAGUCUGAUGUGAAAGCCCACGGGCUCAACCGUGGAGGGUCAUUGGAAACUGGAGAACUUGAGUACAGAAGAGGAAAGCGGAAUUCCACGUGUAGCGGUGAAAUGCGUAGAGAUGUGGAGGAACACCAGUGGCGAAGGCGGCUUUCUGGUCUGUAACUGACGCUGAGGCGCGAAAGCGUGGGGAGCAAACGGGAUUAGAUACCCUGGUAGUCCACGCCGUAAACGAUGAGUGCUAAGUGUUAGGGGGUUUCCGCCCCUUAGUGCUGCAGCUAACGCAUUAAGCACUCCGCCUGGGGAGUACGGCCGCAAGGCUG